UACGUAGGUGGCAAGCGUUGUCCGGAUUUACUGGGUGUAAAGGGCGUGCAGCCGGGCUGACAAGUCAGAUGUGAAAUCCCGCGGCUCAACCGCGGAACUGCAUUUGAAACUGUCAGUCUUGAGUACCGGAGAGGUCAUCGGAAUUCCUUGUGUAGCAGUGAAAUGCGUAGAUAUAAGGAAGAACAUCAGUGGCGAAGGCGGAUGACUGGACGGCAACUGACGGUGAGGCGCGAAAGCGUGGGGAGCAAACAGG
RNAcentral lists this ribosomal RNA (253 nucleotides) under uncultured bacterium. RNAcentral describes it as "partial 16S ribosomal RNA". It matches the Rfam family "Bacterial small subunit ribosomal RNA", at positions 524 to 776 of the family's 1533-position model. The record is from RNAcentral.